This 824-nucleotide ribosomal RNA is filed under the name uncultured Bacillus sp. RNAcentral's name for it is "bacterial SSU rRNA". The stretch from base 197 to 824 matches the Rfam family "Bacterial small subunit ribosomal RNA", at positions 875 to 1499 of the family's 1533-position model. The record is from RNAcentral. Lineage: Bacteria; Bacillati; Bacillota; Bacilli; Caryophanales; Bacillaceae.
CGACACGUAAGCCCCCGGCCCCACAGGCCCCUUGGGGGCAGAGCCGCCCUCUCGCUGCCUUUGCGCCAGGCCGCGACAGGAGCGCGCCCGAGCCCCAUAACAUCCAGGGCAGUCCCGUCCGCAAAGCGGCGGGGACCGGGUUAGCGGGCGUUGCCCCCUGCGGUCCCCGGGGCAAACGCACUACACCCCCCCCCUNGGGAAGUUCGGCCGCCACGGCCUAAAAUUCAAAGGAAUGUACGGGGCCCCGCACAAGGGGGGGAGCAUGUGUUUAAUUUUGCAGCAACGGGAAGACCUUUCCCAGGUCUGGCCAUCCUUUGACACUCUUAGAGAUAGGAAUUUCCCCUUCGGGGGCCAGAGUGACAGGAGGCGCAUGGUCGUCGUCAGCUCGUGUCGUGAGAUGUCGGGUAAAGUCCCGCAACGAGCGCAACCCUUGAUAUUAGUUGCCAGCAUUCAGUUGGGCACUCUAAGGUGACUGCCGGUGACAAACCGGAGGAAGGUGGGGAUGACGUCAAGUCAGUAUGGCCCUUACGGCCAGGGCUGCACACGUACUACAAUGCCCGGUACAAAGGGAAGCAAGACCGUCAGGUGGAGCCAAUCCCAGAAAACCGGGCCCAGUUCAGAUUGUCGUCUGCAACUCGACGGCAUGAAGUUGGAAUCGCUAGUAAUGGCGCAUCAGCUACGGCGCCGUGAAUACGUUCCCAGGCCUCGUACACACCGCCCGUCACAUCAUGGAAGCCGGUCGCACCCGAAGUGCGUGAGCCAACCGCAAGGAGGCAGGGCCGUAAGGUGUAGCUGGUAACUGGGAUGAAGUCGUAACAAGGUAA